GUAAAGCGCGCGCAGGCGGUUUCUUAAGUCUGAUGUGAAAGCCCCCGGCUCAACCGGGGAGGGUCAUUGGAAACUGGGGAACUUGAGUGCAGAAGAGGAGAGUGGAAUUCCACGUGUAGCGGUGAAAUGCGUAGAGAUGUGGAGGAACACCAGUGGCGAAGGCGACUCUCUGGUCUGUAACUGACGCUGAGGCGCGAAAGCGUGGGGAGCGAACAGGAUUAGAUACCC
RNAcentral lists this ribosomal RNA (228 nucleotides) under Bacillus sp. (in: firmicutes). RNAcentral describes it as "Bacillus sp. (in: Bacteria) partial 16S ribosomal RNA". It matches the Rfam family "Bacterial small subunit ribosomal RNA", at positions 560 to 787 of the family's 1533-position model. Lineage: Bacteria; Bacillati; Bacillota; Bacilli; Caryophanales; Bacillaceae. The record is from RNAcentral.